GUGGGGAAUAUUGGACAAUGGGCGAAAGCCUGACGCAGCCAUGCCGCGUGAAUGAUGAAGGUCUUAGGAUUGUAAAAUUCUUUCACCGGGGACGAUAAUGACGGUACCCGGAGAAGAAGCUCCGGCUAACUUCGUGCCAGCAGCCGCGGUAAUACGAAGGGGGCUAGCGUUGCUCGGAAUUACUGGGCGUAAAGGGCGCGUAGGCGGACAGUUUAGUCAGAGGUGAAAGCCCAGGGCUCAACCUUGGAAUUGCCUUUGAUACUGGCUGUCUUGAGUACGGGAGAGGUGAGUGGAACUCCGAGUGUAGAGGUGAAAUUCGUAGAUAUUCGGAAGAACACCAGUGGCGAAGGCGACUCACUGGCCCGUUACUGACGCUGAGGCGCGAAAGCGUGGGGAGCAAACAGGAUUAGAAACCCCUGUAGUCC
Molecule: ribosomal RNA, 425 nt
Filed under: uncultured bacterium
Lineage: Bacteria
Description: partial 16S ribosomal RNA
Rfam family: Bacterial small subunit ribosomal RNA
Source: RNAcentral